This 591-nucleotide ribosomal RNA is filed under the name uncultured bacterium. RNAcentral describes it as "bacterial SSU rRNA". It matches the Rfam family "Bacterial small subunit ribosomal RNA", at positions 337 to 916 of the family's 1533-position model. The record is from RNAcentral.
UCCUACGGGAGGCAGCAGUAGGGAAUCUUCCACAAUGGACCAAAGUCGGAUGGAGCAACGCCGGGUGAGCGAAGAAGGUUUUCGGAUCGUAAAGCUCUGUUGCUGGAGAAGAACGAGUGCGAGAGGAAAUGCUCGUACUGUGACGGUAUCCAGCCAGAAAGCCACGGCUAACUACGUGCCAGCAGCCGCGGUAAUACGUAGGUGGCGAGCGUUGUCCGGAAUUAUUGGUUGUAAAGCGCGCGCAGGCGUUUUCUUAAGUCUGAUGUGAAAUCUUGCGGCUCAACCGCCAACGGUCAUUGGAAACUGGAAAGCUUGAUUGCAGAAGAGGAGAGUAGAAUUCCACGUGUAGCGAUGAAAUGCGUUGAUAUGUCUUAGCAAUACCUGUGGCGAAGGCGGCUCUCUGACCUGUAACUGACGCUGAGGGGCGAAAGCUUGUUGAGCAAACAGUAUUAGAUACCCUAGCGUUCCAGUACGAGAAAUAUGAAUGCUAGGUGUUAGGGGGACCCAACCCCUUAUUGCUGAAGUUAACACAUCAAGCAUUCCGCCUGGUUAAUACGACCGACUUUCUUGAAACUCAGAUAGAUUUGACGG